RNAcentral lists this long non-coding RNA (263 nucleotides) under Populus trichocarpa (black cottonwood). Its description in RNAcentral is "long non-coding RNA (PTRI_LNC002688)". The record is from RNAcentral. Lineage: Eukaryota; Viridiplantae; Streptophyta; Magnoliopsida; Malpighiales; Salicaceae.
AGAAAAAAUCCCAUUUCUUAGUUGGAAAAAAGCCAGCCACCUUCCGUAUUUCGGUCCCAAAAGUCUCUCCUCAACAAUCAGGGAGCAGACAACCAAGAAUGGGCAAGGAGAAAAUGAGUUUUUUGAAAGGUCUAUGGCAGUCUAUUCUCAAUUUUAUCGGCCGUCAUCGUAAUGAAGAAACCUAUAGGUCCCCGUAUGUGAAUGAAUCAGUUUCUAAAAUAUAUAUAAAAAAAAGUGUCAGAGCUCGUUCUUUCACUCAUAAA